AGCUGGUCCGAGUGCGGUGGGGUUUGCAACUCAUUGAUCACAACCAGUUACACAUUCCUUUAUUCCUUCUCCAGUCCCACUGCUUCACUUGACUUGCCUAAA
This 102-nucleotide Y RNA is filed under the name Propithecus coquereli (Coquerel's sifaka). Its description in RNAcentral is "Y RNA (ENSPCOG00000002992.1)". It matches the Rfam family "Y RNA". From Rfam's summary of the family: Y RNAs are components of the Ro ribonucleoprotein particle (Ro RNP), in association with Ro60 and La proteins. The Y RNAs and Ro60 and La proteins are well conserved, but the function of the Ro RNP is not known. In humans the RNA component can be one of four small RNAs -- hY1, hY3, hY4 and hY5. Lineage: Eukaryota; Metazoa; Chordata; Mammalia; Primates; Indriidae. The record is from Rfam by way of RNAcentral.